UAUAUAUAUAUAUAUAUAUAUAUAUAUAUAUAUUAUAAAUUAUUUUGUUAUUAAAAUAAUUAUCAAAUAGGUAAUUACGAUAUUUACAUAAUAAUUUAUUAUUAUAUAAUAAAUUGUUAUUCAAUGUACUUAUUAUUAACAAGUAAAAUAAUAAAGGCUAGCUAUUAAUAUAAUAAGUAAGCAUUAUUUUAAGUACAUUUUGCUUUUUUUAGUAUUUAAUACUAAUUAAAAAGAUUUAAAAAAAAUAAGCUAUUAUAAAAAAACUAAAAUUAUGAUAAAAUCAGUGAAUUACUAACGUUCUACUUAUUUUACGUUUGUUAUAAAAAUAUAAAAAACUGUACUGAAAAAAAUAAUAAUACUUUCUUGAUAAAAACGGGAAGGCUAAGAAAUUUAUUAUUAUAUGAAUUUUACAUUACUUUGAUGUUACAUAUAUAUAUAUAUAUAUAUAAUAUCCAUUAAUUAUAUUAAGAUGAAGGAAGAGUUCAUUCGAUUAUAAAUAUAUAAAUAACAUUUAUUUAUAUGUAUAUGUAUAAUAAAGAGAAAAAAAGAAAUUAAAAUUAAAAUGCUUAUAUUUAUUAUUAGUACUAUGUUAUAGUAUUACCAUAUUUAAUGUUUAUUGUUUAUUUAUAAAGAAUAAUAGUAUAAAAACAAAAAACUUUCUAAAUAUUUAUAUAUUUUUAAUUUUAAAAGUAGUUAAGUUCGUUUUCUUUUUUAUUUUUUAUAUUUUUUUAUAUUUUGAUUUUAGAAUUCAUUAGUAUGGCAAACAAAUUACUAAGUUUGUUUGUCAUUACUAUUUUUUUCUUAGUAAAUUUUAGCUAUGUUAUAACAGGGCAUAAGAAUGAAAACUCCAAAAAUAACAUGUGGAUAUCAAGAUUUAAUAUGGGGAAAGAUGGGAAUAAAAUAAAUAAAGAUGCAGAUAGACAUCUUCAUGAAACAUAUAAGAAGGACACAGAUAAUUUACUUAACAGUAAUAAGAAAGAUGUGUUCACAGAUGAACGAAGUGCACUGCUUUUAAAAGAAAUUUAUACAAAAGAUAAAGAGUUAAGUAUAAUUAAAAGAAAAAAGAAAAUGUAUAAAAACGCUACUAUAACUUUAGGGACAUUAAUAGCUGUUAUUGCGAUACGCCUUAUAAAAAAAUAUAUUGAAAAUUACUUACUUAAACUUGUCGAUGAUUGUCCUUUUUUAUCCGUUAAUAAAAAUAUGGACAAGUCAAAUGAAGAAAAAUUGUAAUAAAUAAAAAAAAAAAAAAAGUUAUAAAUCUUUAAAAAAAUCGCAUGUUUUAUUUACGCUUUUUAGUUCAUACAAUAUGUAAACAUAUUUACAUCCUACAUAUAUAUAUAUAUAUAUGUAUAAAGAAUUAAUAGAGAAAAGAAAAAAAGAAAAAAAACUUUAAAAAGAAAGAUUGAAAAUUUACUAUGCAUAAUUAUUGUUUUACAUUGUUUUUUUUUUUAUAUUAAAUGGUACGUUUAAUACUAAAACAAUAACAUUUUUAUUUAUUUGGACAUUGUUAUUUAUUGUUUUUUUUUAUUUAAUAAGAUUUUUUAUAUUGUUUUUACUACAUUAUAUAUAUGUAAAUGAGGUGUUGAAUAUACAAGUUUAAUUACAUUUAAAUAAUUUUACAUAAGUAAAUUCAUAUAUACAUAAGAUAUUAAUUUUGUGCCAACCUAAUAAAUAGUAUGUCCGCUUUAUAUAUAUAUAUAUA
Molecule: long non-coding RNA, 1702 nt
Organism: Piliocolobus tephrosceles (Ugandan red Colobus)
Lineage: Eukaryota; Metazoa; Chordata; Mammalia; Primates; Cercopithecidae
Source: Ensembl